GACCCCGCACAAGCGGUGGAACAUGUGGUUUAAUUCGAUGCUACGCGAAAAACCUUACCAAGAUUUGACAUAUUAGUCGUAUGUCUAGGAAACUAGCAGUCAGUUCGGCUGGACUAUUACAGGUGCUGCAUGGCUGUCGUCAGCUCGUGUCGUGAGAUGUUGGGUUAAGUCCCGCAACGAGCGCAACCCUUAUCCUAUGUUGCCAGCAUUUAGUUGGGGACUCGUAGGAGACUGCCGGGGUCAACUCGGAGGAAGGUGGGGAUGACGUCAAGUCAUCAUGCCCCUUAUGCCCAGGGCUGCAAACACGCUACAAUGGCUAGGACAGACGGCCGCAAACCCGCGAGGGGGAGCCAAUCCGACAAACCUAGUCGUAGUCCGGAUCGGAGUCUGCAACUCGACUCCGUG
Molecule: ribosomal RNA, 405 nt
Filed under: uncultured bacterium
Lineage: Bacteria
Description: bacterial SSU rRNA
Rfam family: Bacterial small subunit ribosomal RNA
Source: RNAcentral